Long non-coding RNA from Cyprinodon tularosa, 506 nucleotides. RefSeq lists it as uncharacterized. NCBI's taxonomy places the organism in Eukaryota, Metazoa, Chordata, Actinopteri, Cyprinodontiformes, Cyprinodontidae. The record is from RefSeq and is a predicted model, not a curated record. The transcript has 4 exons.
CAGGUUCGGUUGGGAGGCUGCCAAGCCCUGUAUGGAAGACAAACAUUUUCUUGCUUUCUGGCCCUAAUAUUGACGUUCUCCCUUCUCCCUCGGAUGUACAAAGACUGAAGAACCAUGGAUUAGGCAACCCUGUGCAUGAGGGGACAGAAACCAGGAGCUCUAAAAUUAACCUGAAUUGGAGCUUGUCUGAACUGAACAACUUUGUGUGUCAAAGCUACCCACACAUUAGCCUAAAUCUGGUUGGCUUUGAACUGGCAAGAGCUGGAAAAGGACGAAAGGUAAAAAAAAGUACAGGUGAAUUCUGUGAGGGAGCUGAAGGAAAAGGUUGGCAAAAGCAGACUCUACAUUCUACCACGAGCAGAUGUGUCACAGGAAACCUACUCAACAGCAGCAAUGUCCAGGACCUUGUUUCCAGAACCCUCAACUGCACCAGAAGUACAGAAUAUCUCUCCAGAGGUUGAGAGGACCACCGGAAAUUUGGGGGAAGAGCAGACACUUCUAGAUUG